GAUGAAGAACGUAGCGAAAUGCGAUAAGUAGUGUGAAUUUCAGAAUUCAGUGAAUCAUCGAAUCUUUGAACGCACAUUGCGCCCUUUGGUAUUCCAAAGGGCAUGCCUGUUCGAGCGUCAUUUGUACCCUCAAGCUUUGCUUGGUGUUGGGCGUCUUGUCUCUAGCUUUGCUGGAGACUCGCCUUAAAGUAAUUGGCAGCCGGCCUACUGGUUUCGGAGCGCAGCACAAGUCGCACUCUCUAUCAGCAAAGGUCUAGCAUCCAUUAAGCCUUUUUUUCAACUUUUGACCUCGGAUCAGGUAGGGAUACCCGCUGAACUUAAGCAUAUCAAUAAGCGGAGGA
This 341-nucleotide unclassified non-coding RNA is filed under the name soil metagenome. Its description in RNAcentral is "partial contains 5.8S ribosomal RNA, internal transcribed spacer 2, and large subunit ribosomal RNA". The stretch from base 1 to 120 matches the Rfam family "5.8S ribosomal RNA", at positions 35 to 154 of the family's 154-position model. The record is from RNAcentral.